Long non-coding RNA from Solanum dulcamara, 1218 nucleotides. RefSeq lists it as uncharacterized. NCBI's taxonomy places the organism in Eukaryota, Viridiplantae, Streptophyta, Magnoliopsida, Solanales, Solanaceae. The record is from RefSeq and is a predicted model, not a curated record. The transcript is spliced from 3 exons.
UGAACAAAGCUUCCUGGUUGGCCAAAGUUGCUGCCGAUAGUGAUACAUGGCUAUCCUAUGUUACCUUCUUUUUUUGUGGCUGUAAUUGCUAUGAUAACGAGAUGAGGGAAUGGCUUUUCAACAAGAUGAAUGAGCUGCCAACAAUAUAUGAAGUGGUUAUUGGUGCUACUGAACAGGCCAAGAAGCGAGUAAAGGAUAAAUCAACAGUUUCAUGUCAUAGCAGCAAGAAGUCAAAGUUAAAUUCUGAAGUGGUACAGUUGAAAACCUCUCCUGUCCCCAUCCUUCUUUCAUAAAAGAUGUUUUUUCUUGGAUAACAGUAGUUGUGCGGUACUCUUUAAAGGAUUCCCUUGGACAGUGUUUAAUUGAAAACCUUCAGCUCUAGGACAUGGUCAAUGGAUCACAAAAUGGAUGCUCUCUGAUUUGAGCCAUGGUUCAGUUUUCAAUCAUCCACACUCAUUAUAAAUGUGUAUGAUGACUCUCGAGAGCAUAUAUAGUAAUAUUCCAUGACUAGCUUGCUAAUGUCAUAUCAGUCCAAUAACAAUUGAGAGGUAGAAAGCAGGAAACUGAAGCGUUUGUAUAAUGUUCUCCUACAGGGGAAAGCUAAUGUUUCUGUCAUGUUAUAGUAUACAGGAGUUAAAGGGACCUCCUAAGUUGAUAUGUUGUUGAUUUGUAUUUUCUUAUAUGAUGAUUGUUUACCUUUGGUAUUCCUAGAAACAGAAUCAGUUUGGGUCUAUACAUUUCUGGGCAAGGCAGGUAGUGGUUACCUGCUUCUAGUUUGAGGAAGGCUUAUUAGUCGGUUAAAUUGAUUUGAACUAAAGUAAUUUACAGUUGUGUUGAAUGCUUAAGUUUGAUAGAAGAGGCUUUCGGGUGCCUAAGGACUAGGCUAAAGUCAAUGCUGGCAUUUUCCCAAAGAGCAAUGAAUGUCUAGCAGCAGACUGGUCAAGGACUUGAAGAAGCAACGAGAACUCCCAAUGCAAAGUGAUCAAAGGCUCUUGGAAUUCAAACAAGAGCACAAACUGGAAAAUCUCCAGUCAAUAAAACAUCUUAGAUUUCUAUGAUUAAUUUGUUUUUGCUAAGAUUUGGGUAUGUAACAAACAAUGUAGCAAUGUAGCUUAAUGUCCUUUUAUCUUGCCGAUGACAAUCGGUGCUAUUGUCCAGAUUUGUUAGAACUAUCGUGAUGUCUAAUUGGUGUUUUUAUUAACCAAAUGGAAUUUAUGU